GUGCCCGUAGCUCAGCUGGAUAGAGCGUCAGACUACGAAUCUGAAGGUCAUAGGUUCGACUCCUAUCGGGCACACCA
RNAcentral lists this transfer RNA (77 nucleotides) under Candidatus Babeliales bacterium. Its description in RNAcentral is "tRNA-Arg". It matches the Rfam family "tRNA". From Rfam's summary of the family: Transfer RNA (tRNA) molecules are approximately 80 nucleotides in length. Their secondary structure includes four short double-helical elements and three loops (D, anti-codon, and T loops). Lineage: Bacteria; Candidatus Babeliae; Candidatus Babeliales. The record is from RNAcentral.